CAGUCGCCGCGGGAAUACGGAGGGCGCGAGCGUUACCCGGAUUUACUGGGCGUAAAGGGCGUGUAGGCGGCCUGGGGCGUCCCAUGUGAAAGGCCACGGCUCAACCGUGGAGGAGCGUGGGAUACGCUCAGGCUAGAGGGUGGGAGAGGGUGGUGGAAUUCCCGGAGUAGCGGUGAAAUGCGCAGAUACCGGGAGGAACGCCGAUGGCGAAGGCAGCCACCUGGUCCACUUCUGACGCUGAGGCGCGAAAGCGUGGGGAGCAAACCGGAUUAGAUACCCGCGUAGUCCCUGUCUCUUAUAA
Molecule: ribosomal RNA, 301 nt
Filed under: uncultured bacterium
Lineage: Bacteria
Description: partial 16S ribosomal RNA
Rfam family: Bacterial small subunit ribosomal RNA
Source: RNAcentral